This 253-nucleotide ribosomal RNA is filed under the name uncultured bacterium. RNAcentral's name for it is "partial 16S ribosomal RNA". It matches the Rfam family "Bacterial small subunit ribosomal RNA", at positions 524 to 776 of the family's 1533-position model. The record is from RNAcentral.
UACGGGGGGGGCAAGCGUUGUUCGGAAUUACUGGGCGUAAAGGGCCAGUAGGCGGCCAACUAAGUCGGAUGUGAAAUCCCCAGGCUUAACCUGGGAACUGCAUCCGAUACUGGAUGGCUUGAAUUCGGGAGAGGGAUGCAGAAUUCCAGGUGUAGCGGUGAAAUGCGUAGAUAUCAAGUGGAACACCAGUGGCGAAGGCGAGUCCCUGGACAACUCCUGACACUGAGGCACGAAAGCUAGGGGAGCAAACAGG